Molecule: long non-coding RNA, 594 nt
Organism: Carassius auratus (goldfish)
Lineage: Eukaryota; Metazoa; Chordata; Actinopteri; Cypriniformes; Cyprinidae
Exons: 4
Source: RefSeq, a predicted model, not a curated record
UUUUGUUCCUGGAUUCUUCAGUGAUGAUGAGCAGAGUCUGAGUGAACCUGCUGUCAGACAGGUUGGCCUGAUUGACGAUGCCAUCGUCCAUCGCCGAUGGCUGAUAGACAUCACGAUGCUGCGCCGGAAACAGCGUCAUCAGCUCCAGUAUCUCGGCCGUGCAUCCGUUGUCAUGCAACAGAGAAGUCACGUUCUAUAGACAGUUUCUGACAGUUGUGAACGUGCUGACAGCUGGUUGCCCAGGCUAUGGAUUAAAGGUAAUACUGUUGGCCAGCAGAGCCCUGCUCACCCUGACGGCCCACCGCUGCUGUCAGACAACAUCUCCAAGAUGCUAUAAACUGCAGGACCAGAUCGCCAUCCCAAGGUUUCUAGAGAUUACAGCAGCUCCAGACUGAAUCCAAACUCACUUUUGAAGACUUCAGAUGACAACAACGCUCACAAAGACUACAGACGACAACUGUACAUGAACACACAAAACAUUGGACACACAAAACAAAUAUUAUCCUUAUUUUGCCUAUAAGGGUAAAUUAGAUGAUUUUCAAACUGCUUUAUUGUAACGUCUCUUAUAUCUGUAAAUGAACAAUAUUUACUCUC